Molecule: non-coding RNA, 276 nt
Organism: Phascolarctos cinereus (koala)
Lineage: Eukaryota; Metazoa; Chordata; Mammalia; Diprotodontia; Phascolarctidae
Source: RefSeq, a predicted model, not a curated record
CUGAAACAAAUAUAAAGAAUGAAACAAUAUCUACUCUCAAGACACUUCUGACCGAGUAUCUGGGGAGGGAGAAGUAACAAAGAGAAGGCCUGAAUAAGAAAAGGAAAAGAGAAUUUGGAGGCAAAAGUCUUGGAGUGGAGUAGCAGGGAUUCUUCCCACGGAGUGAAAUAAAGUCAACAGAUAUUUAAAAGUAUAGCCCCUCAGAAGUUGCUUCAAAAAACAAACCAACCAGAGAGAAAGAGAGAGAGAGAGAGAAGGAGAAGAGAAGAAGAAGAA